UUACUCCUCUCUUCUUUACUAUGCUAGCUGACUACAUAGUGGUACCGUCCACUAUAAUAAAACGGGUAUACAUCAUGUUUAGGAUGUAUAUACUAGUGAAUAUACAUGGUGCACGCUACAACUCCUAUUUCUGGCAUGGUAAUGAAUGAAUGAAUGAAUAUCGGCGCUUGGAAUCGGAAUCCUUCUCGCAUCCUUAUAUUUAUAGGGUAGACAUAAAUAAAGCCAAGAAAAUUCUAAAAUUAUAAAUACAGUACCUCAAGGCAAUGAAAAUUCUAAAAUUAAGACGAAACCAAGCUAAUAUUAAAUAUAAAUACAGUACCUCAAGGCAAAGCAUUUGAACACAUGGAUAAAAUUAGGAAUAUUUAUAUUUUCUAAGAAAUAGAACAUUAGAAGAACAAUAAUUAUGAAUUUUUUAAAUAAUGAUACCUACAUAUAGAAAGUCAAGUUAUUAUAAAAAUAAAAUAUAUUUUACCUCUAUUUCUCCAACCUGUCUCGGGAGAGGUUACACAGUAAAUAACCUAUUUACUGAAACAGCAGCAUGCAACGAUAUUUGCAAAUAUUUGAGUGGAAGAAGAGAAAUCAUGACAUUAGUGCCUCCUUUGAUAAAUCCUCGACAAGAAGUUGGAGACAGUGAUGUGGGGAAUUUUGGGAACUUGUUGGAGUAAAGUCAAAUGUUCAAUCCUCCACAAGAUGUUGGAGACAGUGAUAUGGGGAUUUCUGGGAACUUGUUGGAAGAAAGUCAAAUGUUCAAUCCUCCACAAGAAGUUGGAGACAGUGAUGUGGGGAUAAUUUGUACUUUAAGUUUAUUCAUAAUUGCAUAAUGCUCUUCUUUAGAUUUAUCAGGAUGGUGGUGAAUAUGUUUCAAUGUAAAUUUCAUUUUAUUACAAAUAUAUUCAAUUGUUUUUUAGAUAUUUUUAUUAUUAAUUGUAAAUAAUGCUAACAUAUAAAAAUUGAAUUUAUUAUUCUUUGGGAAAGUAAAAUUAUAUUGGAAGUUCUAUAUUUAUAUUGAGAAUGAAUGGUGUUAUAUUUGUGAGGAAAAG
Gordionus sp. m RMFG-2023 is the source of this 1040-nucleotide long non-coding RNA. RefSeq lists it as uncharacterized. NCBI's taxonomy places the organism in Eukaryota, Metazoa, Nematomorpha, Gordioida, Chordodea, Parachordodidae. The transcript has 6 exons. The record is from RefSeq and is a predicted model, not a curated record.